GGAGGGUGCAAGCGUUAUUCGGAUUUAUUGGGCGUAAAGGGCGUGUAGGCGGUUUGAAUAGUCAGGUGUGAAAGCCCUUGGCUUAACCAAGGAAGUGCACUUGAAACUUUCAGACUUGAGUACGGGAGGGGGAAGUGGAAUUCCUGGUGUAGAGGUGAAAUUCGCAGAUAUCAGGAGGAAUACCGGUGGCGAAGGCGACUUCCUGGACCGAUACUGACGCUGAGACGCGAAAGCGUGGGGAGCAAACAGGAUUAGAUACCCUGGUAGUCCACGCCGUAAACGAUGGGCACUAGGUGUAGCGGGUAUUGACCCCUGCUGUGCCGAAGUUAACGCAUUAAGUGCCCCGCCUGGGGAGUACGGCCGCAAGGUUG
This 371-nucleotide ribosomal RNA is filed under the name uncultured bacterium. RNAcentral describes it as "bacterial SSU rRNA". It matches the Rfam family "Bacterial small subunit ribosomal RNA", at positions 527 to 896 of the family's 1533-position model. The record is from RNAcentral.